CAAAAAAAAAAAAAAAAAAGAAAUGAAGCGAUGAGGACGAAGGCCAAGACCCUUAUCUCCACAGAUCUCAGCAUUUCGUUUUCGUCGUUCUUCAAUGAUCUCUCUCUCUUAUCAUCUACGGACAGAUGAGCAAGCGUGGGUAUAGACCGUUGUCCUCCGUGUGUAAGGGGUUCAUCUCCAUCUUCUUCGUUUCCGGACAUCAACGCUGGUAUCUCUCUCACAGUCUCACUCUUACAACCAAGAAUGUUAGCUAUGAAUUUAUCAAAUUUGAGAAACAGGUUGUAGACAGGUUCUGGAGUAAAAAAAGCAUCAAAAAGCAAGAGAGGAUUCUCAGUAUUACCUUGGUGAGCUGUUCUAUUCUUCCUCCCCACCCAGAUGACUAUUGAUGCAGUUAUCUUCGUCAUCCAGUGAGAUAGGGGAACCUAUAUACAUGUCAAUAUUUUAAAGGAAGAAGUGAAGAAAUAUCGCAAUAUUUUUGAAGAAGAAAAGGUGUACUAUGUCAAGUCCUGGUGGUCACUACUACAACAGUUCUGUCACAGUCUACUGGCCUUGGGGAUUUUAGAAGUGGUGAUGUUGUUGUCAGUACCAUCUCUGAUAUGUUUAUGCAUCAAGAGGAUGGGGAUUGUAAAUGAUCAGCUUGUAGUAAGGGUGAAAAAAGUGGCAGAAAUGAGCAAUAAGGUAUAAACUUACUGUUAGAGUGGUGGAUAAAACUGGAGAUCUCUCUUCCUACUAUGAGAUAGGGAGUGUGCUUAAUUGGAAGGUGUUCCAGCAGGCUUACUAUUUGAUAAGUAUCAAAAGAGUAGUGCCCGCACUUCACCUUCUUUCUCGCGUUCUUCUCUGGCAUUUUCGUCGCCAGAGCUUCGUCGUCUCCAACGCUUCAUCGUCUCCCCUGCUGAAACGAAGAAAAGCUCCAUUGCUACAAAGAUUCGUAAGUCCACAGCAAAAGAUGACUUCAAACAAAGAUACUAAGCAACCAAAGAGAAAGUAUCAAAGAGAGCUAGAGCAAUAGAUAAUGAACGAACAUCACAAGAGUCCAAGAGCAACAGUAGCAUCUCGAGAAAAACAACCUUAACACUAGAAUGUCGCCUAUCGAAUUCCUAUGGUUGAUGGAGAAACUAACAGAUGAACAAAGAAAAGCGAUAGAAGAUAUUGGAUUUGGAUCACUACUACAGUAAAAAUUGUCAUGCUGGGAUACAGAAUUGUGUGCAUACACAGAUUUGAUAUAUAUGUGCAGGCCAUUUUUCUAAGAUCCUUGAGAGCAAAGUAUGCAUCAUGCACAAUAAUGCUGCCAAUCAAUUAUGAGAAAGAGGAAGUGCUGAAGAAAGCAAGAGAAAUAUAUAUUUCAAAAUGACAUGGAAUGUUCAGUAGAUUUGAGUAGGUUGCUAUAGCGGGUGGAAAAUUAAUUUUUGGUUUUGGUUCCUUGAUUUUUUUAACAAGGUUGACAUGUGCAUUAUGCAGUGACAAAAUGAUGUAAAUUUGCCAAAGUUUGAUAGGUUACUAUGCUUUAAAUUCAAAGCUUAUCAGUUGCAAUA
Ipomoea nil (Japanese morning glory) is the source of this 1532-nucleotide RNA transcript. RefSeq lists it as uncharacterized. Lineage: Eukaryota; Viridiplantae; Streptophyta; Magnoliopsida; Solanales; Convolvulaceae. The record is from RefSeq and is a predicted model, not a curated record. The transcript has 6 exons.